RNAcentral lists this ribosomal RNA (466 nucleotides) under Vreelandella stevensii. RNAcentral's name for it is "partial 16S ribosomal RNA". It matches the Rfam family "Bacterial small subunit ribosomal RNA", at positions 338 to 795 of the family's 1533-position model. The record is from RNAcentral. Lineage: Bacteria; Pseudomonadati; Pseudomonadota; Gammaproteobacteria; Oceanospirillales; Halomonadaceae.
CCUACGGGGGGCUGCAGUGGGGAAUAUUGGACAAUGGGGGCAACCCUGAUCCAGCCAUGCCGCGUGUGUGAAGAAGGCCCUCGGGUUGUAAAGCACUUUCAGUGAGGAAGAACGCCUGGUGGUUAAUACCCAUCAGGAAAGACAUCACUCACAGAAGAAGCACCGGCUAACUCCGUGCCAGCAGCCGCGGUAAUACGGAGGGGUGCGAGCGUUAAUCGGAAUUACUGGGCGUAAAGCGCGCGUAGGUGGCGUGAUAAGCCGGUUGUGAAAGCCACGGGCUCAACCUGGGAACGGCAUCCGGAACUGUCAAGCUAGAGUGCAGGAGAGGAAGGUAGAAUUCCCGGUGUAGCGGUGAAAUGCGUAGAGAUCGGGAGGAAUACCAGUGGCGAAGGCGGCCUUCUGGACUGACACUGACACUGAGGUGCGAAAGCGUGGGUAGCAAACAGGAUUAGAGACCCGGGUAGUC